Molecule: ribosomal RNA, 543 nt
Filed under: uncultured bacterium
Lineage: Bacteria
Description: bacterial SSU rRNA
Rfam family: Bacterial small subunit ribosomal RNA
Source: RNAcentral
AAUAGAUACCCUGGUAGUCCACGCCGUAAACGAUGAGUGCUAAGUGUUGGGGGGUUUCCGCCCCUCAGUGCUGCAGCUAACGCAUUAAGCACUCCGCCUGGGGAGUACGGUCGCAAGACUGAAACUCAAAGGAAUUGACGGGGGCCCGCACAAGCGGUGGAGCAUGUGGUUUAAUUCGAAGCAACGCGAAGAACCUUACCAGGUCUUGACAUCCUGGUGACCACUAUGGAGACAUAGUUUCCCCUUCGGGGGCAACGGUGACAGGUGGCGCAUGGUUGUCGUCAGCUCGUGUCGUGAGAUGUUGGGUUAAGUCCCGCAACGAGCGCAACCCUUAUUCUUAGUUGCCAUCAUUCAGUUGGGCACUCUAAGGAGACUGCCGGUGAUAAACCGGAGGAAGGUGGGGAUGACGUCAAAUCAUCAUGCCCCUUAUGACCUGGGCUACACACGUGCUACAAUGGACGGUACAAACGGUUGCCAACCCGCGAGGGGAGCUAAUCCGAUAAAACCGUUCUCAGUUCGGAUUGUAGGCUGCAACUCGCCUAC